This 329-nucleotide ribosomal RNA is filed under the name uncultured eukaryote. RNAcentral's name for it is "partial 18S ribosomal RNA". It matches the Rfam family "Eukaryotic small subunit ribosomal RNA", at positions 1470 to 1796 of the family's 1831-position model. The record is from RNAcentral.
CCCUUAGAUGUUCUGGGCCGCACGCGUGCUACACUGAUGCAUUCAACGAGUCUAAAACCUGGUCUGAUAGGGCUGGGUAAUCUUUUGAAAGUGCAUCGUGAUUGGGAUAGAUGAUUGCAAUUCUUCAUCUUCAACGAGGAAUGCCUAGUAAACGCAAGUCAUCAGCUUGCAUUGAUUACGUCCCUGCCCUUUGUACACACCGCCCGUCGCUCCUACCGAUUGAAUGAUCCGAUGAAUACCAUGGAUUGAGAGUCUGAGUGGGUUCGCCUACCUCAACUUUCGAGAAGCGGUUUAAAUCUUAUCGUUUAGAGGAAGGAGAAGUCGUAACA